Oreochromis aureus is the source of this 1114-nucleotide long non-coding RNA. The record is from Ensembl. Lineage: Eukaryota; Metazoa; Chordata; Actinopteri; Cichliformes; Cichlidae.
GAAAUUUAGAGUGUAUUUUGGAGAUUAUAUCUCUUAUCCCUCCUGUUGACGCAUGGAGAGUAACUCCAUGUGUCACUAAGGCUGCUGUUUUGUGUAGAGAUUUUGGAAGUAUUGGUUUUCCUUCACAAAUCAUCAAGUCAUCUCUUAGUUUCGCUCCGCAUUUCAGCCAUUUCUUUUGCUCAGCUGUGGGAGCUGCUUUUUGUUCAUCCUUUGUCAGUAAAAUUGUUUCCCUUUGUAAUGUCAUAGUCAUUCUUCUGAUGUGCUGCACACUUGCAAAUUGCUAAAUGUCGCAUCACAUGAGGAGUUUCCUCCCAUGUAAACAGAUGUGUGCCAUGAUAAAACCUUCUCCACACACUAGAAACAAAAACUAUAUUUCAACCGUUGUUACAUCUUAUUCACUUAUUUUAUAAUACAGUUAUUUUUCAAAUCUAAUAUCAAUCAACUAAUUUGCAUAUCAGCUUAUAAUGCGCUAAAUUGACAGGUCAACAGAAAUACACGUUCAAAAGAUUAUCACAAAAGAGAAUUUCCUCCAUACAGUAAAUUACUUGUGUUGCAUCAAUCAAGGAGAAAGCAUCUCACAAUUUAUUGUAUUACCAACUAAAUUUAUUGUCUGAUCACUGCUUGGUCAUACCAGACUCUCUCUGUGUCUUUAUUUUUCCUUCUCUGUUUUCACAAACGUUUCACCUAUUCUGGAGAGUUAAAUGUCAGUAGUGGGUAAAUUCAGCAGUUGAUAACAAAACUAUUAAGUUUUUCCUGUUUUAACACCAAUGUGAGAUAUAGAGGCGCACAUAUAGUGUGUGCUCUAGUGUAAGCUGCUCUUCAUUGCAUGUAUGUGUGUUAGUACGCUUGCAUGCAGGGCCUCUGGGCCUGUCUCACCCAAAAGGGCAUUUUCUUAACAGUUGCCUUUCACUCGCGUGUGUUAAGAAAGGCAAAUGUGCUUGUAGCAGUUGUGAGAUUAUAUUACAUUAUACCUGUAAUCAAAAUGAGUGAAUCAUGAUACUGCUGUAGGCCACAUCAUACUUCUUGUGUAAUCAGUAUGUAGUUUUAGUUUGCAUCACACUUCUUAGUUAAAAGAAUGUGAAAAUCAUUAGAUUUAUUAGAUAGGUUUGUAUUA